AGUGAACGCUGGCGGUAGGCCUAACACAUGCAAGUCGAACGGCAGCACAGUAAGAGCUUGCUCUUACGGGUGGCGAGUGGCGGACGGGUGAGGAAUACAUCGGAAUCUACUUUUUCGUGGGGGAUAACGUAGGGAAACUUACGCUAAUACCGCAUACGACCUACGGGUGAAAGCAGGGGAUCUUCGGACCUUGCGCGAAUGAAUGAGCCGAUGUCGGAUUAGCUAGUUGGGGGGGUAAAGGCCCACCAAGGCGACGAUCCGUAGCUGGUCUGAGAGGAUGAUCACCCACAUGGGAACUGAGACACGGUCCAGACUCCUACGGGAGGCCGCAGUGUGGAAUGUUGGACAAUGGGCGCAAGCCUUAUCCAGCCAUACCGCGUGGGUGAAGAAGGCCUUCGGGUUGUAAAGCCCUUUUGUUGGUAAAGAAAAGCAGCAGGUUAAUACCCCGCUGUUCUGACGGUACCCAAAGAAUAAGCACCGACUAACUUCGUG
Molecule: ribosomal RNA, 492 nt
Filed under: uncultured bacterium
Lineage: Bacteria
Description: partial 16S ribosomal RNA
Rfam family: Bacterial small subunit ribosomal RNA
Source: RNAcentral